Molecule: ribosomal RNA, 257 nt
Filed under: uncultured bacterium
Lineage: Bacteria
Description: partial 16S ribosomal RNA
Rfam family: Bacterial small subunit ribosomal RNA
Source: RNAcentral
GUCCACGCCGUAAACGAUGGUCACUAGUUGUUGGGUAUUUAUACUCGGUGACUAAGCGAAAGUGAUAAGUGACCCACCUGGGGAGUACGAUCGCAAGAUUGAAACUCAAAGGAAUUGACGGGGGCCCGCACAAGCGGUGGAGCAUGUGGUUUAAUUCGAUGAUACGCGAGGAACCUUACCAGGGCUUAAAUGUAAGUUGCAUAGAUCAGAGAUGGUCUUUUCUUCGGACUACUUACAAGGUGCUGCAUGGUUGUCGU